This is a long non-coding RNA of Lytechinus variegatus (green sea urchin), 424 nucleotides long. RefSeq lists it as uncharacterized. The record is from RefSeq and is a predicted model, not a curated record. The transcript has 3 exons. Lineage: Eukaryota; Metazoa; Echinodermata; Echinoidea; Temnopleuroida; Toxopneustidae.
UGAUAACUGCAUAAAAGGGAGAGAGGAUUUUACUCCAAUUCACUCCUGCACUGCACCCCAUUCAUGGGGCAGGCAGAGAGGCUUCUUCAUUUUUGGGUCAGAAUUAUAGGUAUUUGACAUGACAUUCGUGUAGCGGGUGAGGCUAUCACGAGAGGAAAUAUGGUCCUCUAGGCCAGAUUGCCAGGGUUUUUUUUAUUUCUUUAUCUUUUGUUCCUGUACUUGGAAAUUUUGGAAUUUUGUAUAUAACGACUCAUCGAUAUUAAUCGAACCGAAACACAAGGAAUGGUGUCGUGUGUCAUCUUUCUACCAUCAGUUUCCGCGUGUUACAAGUGGCGUUGUCAGCAGGAUCGAUGUUCGUCGUUGGAUACACAACCAAGUUCAAAUCCUGACAAUCUGAGGAGCUCAUCCGUCUGUUGGACAUCUU